RNAcentral lists this ribosomal RNA (253 nucleotides) under uncultured bacterium. RNAcentral describes it as "partial 16S ribosomal RNA". It matches the Rfam family "Bacterial small subunit ribosomal RNA", at positions 524 to 776 of the family's 1533-position model. The record is from RNAcentral.
UACGAAGGGUGCAAGCGUUAAUCGGAAUUACUGGGCGUAAAGCGCGCGUAGGCGGUUUGGUAAGUGUGAUGUGAAAGCCCCGGGCUCAACCUGGGAACUGCAUCACAUACUGCCAAGCUAGAGUACGGUAGAGGGGGGUAGAAUUCCACGUGUAGCGGUGAAAUGCGUAGAGAUGUGGAGGAAUACCAGUGGCGAAGGCGGCCCCCUGGAUCGAUACUGACGCUGAGGUGCGAAAGCGUGGGGAGCAAACAGG